This 72-nucleotide transfer RNA is filed under the name Camelus ferus (Wild Bactrian camel). It matches the Rfam family "tRNA". Rfam says of the family: Transfer RNA (tRNA) molecules are approximately 80 nucleotides in length. Their secondary structure includes four short double-helical elements and three loops (D, anti-codon, and T loops). Lineage: Eukaryota; Metazoa; Chordata; Mammalia; Artiodactyla; Camelidae. The record is from Rfam by way of RNAcentral.
GAGGGUGUAGCUCAGUGGUAGAGCCACUGCUUAGCAUGCAUGAGGUCCUGGGUUCAAUCUCUGGUACCUCCA